AGUCCACAUAUUUAUACUCACAACAAUGCAUCACGAUGAAUUUUUAAUUAAGUCUUUUUCCCCUGGAGAAAACACACACCUCCUCACACCCUUACACACACACACACACACACACACACACACACACACACACACUCUUACACACACACACACACACACACACACACACACACACACACACACACACACACAUCAAAUAUCAAACUGCAUUAAGAUUUGUUGUUAAAGCAAAACAAUUAGAUUUUGAUUCAUAAACUUGUGGAAUUAUUUGAUUUUCCUUUAUUUUCUCUUAUACUUAAAAUCUGUUUUAUUCUCUUUACGCUGAUUCUCAUUAUUUGUGAGUGUAUUCUGUAAGAGGGUGUUCUGACCUGACCUGUCACACCAUAAGAUAAGAGGAUAGACUGUACUGUAUGUAAGGAGAUAAUUAAGUGUUACAUGUUGCCAUGUCAAGACCUUUUUAGUAUAUAAUGAGUUAAACCUCUCUGAAUAUGUUAUCGCAUAAAUGAGCUAAAAUCUAAUAUUUUGGGAAAACUUUCACACAUUUAAUUAGAUAGGACAGGUGAUGCUGUGAUAGCUUUAGCACUGCAAUUACCACAAACAGUUUUACACUCAAGUCUCCAUCAGUGAACAGUGGAGAAGUUCAACAAAACAGACUUCAUGUGGAAACUGUAAUGAAUUUCCUGCUUAUACAACUGCACUAGCUGAGCAUGUAGAAUUAGCACAUUUAUAGAAGGGGUGUAUUUAUUUAUAAUCACACUUUAUAUACGUUUACUUUGAAUCCUUGCUCUGACGCUCUGCCUUUAGGGGAGAAAUGAUACAGAUACAGUAGAAUUUCACAGUGGGUUCCACUUCUGUCAGCCAAGAACAGACUAUCAUGGGCACAGACUCAUCGAACCUGGACAGCUGAAGAUGUGUUGGUGAGUCUGUGCCCAUGAUCGCCUCAGAUUCUUGUUCUUGGAUGACAGCAGUGGAAGCUGAUGUGGUCUUCUGCUGUUGUAGUUAUCUGAGUUACUAUAGACUUCCUGUCAGCUCAGACCAGUCUGCUCAUUCUCCUCUGAUCUCUCUCAUCAACAUGGUGUUUCAGCCUGCAGAACCUCCACUCACAGGAUGUUUUUUGUUUUUCACACCAUUCUGUGUAAACUCUAGAGACUGUUGUGUGUAAAAAUCCAAGGAAAUCAACAGUUUCUGAAAUACUCAAACCAGUCCAUCUGGUACCAACUACCAUGGCACAGUUAAAGUCUCACUGUUUCCUCAUUCUGAUGUUUAAUGUGAACGUUAACUGAAGCUCUUGACUUGUAUCUGCAUGUUUGUUAUUUAUUAUGCUGCUGCCACAUAUUUGGCUGGUUAGACAACUGCAUGAAUGUGCAAGUGUUCCUAAUAAAGUGGGCGGUGGGUGUAGAUGAAAAUAUUUGACAUUGUAGUAACUUGUAGUGUGUUUUAAUCUCAAACCUUAUUAUUGUUAGUCUUUUGAAUCACUGUAUAAUUGAUGUUUUUACUUUUAGGGAGGAACUCCUCACCAGAGCCACAUCACAGCACAUGAAUGAAUGGUUUAAAGGCUUUCACAUGUAUAACACUGAUUCAAAUGUUCCACCUUUGUAAGCUUUUGUAUCUAACCAGAUGGGAUUUGUAAAUGCAUGGAUGAAACAUACAUGGUGCAGAAUAACUCCAUGGCAUGUUAAAGGAAUAUUCAGAACCUUUGUUGGAGUUUAUAGAUUUUCGGGGAGCCCUGAUUGAAGACAUCAAUGACUUACAGAUGUCUAUUCUAGUCCUACCUACUAUACACCACCGUCUCUCUGUCAUGUCUGGAUGGCUGACUAGCACCAAGUUCUCUCCCGAAUUAAAUGUAUGGAAACAUAAGAAAGGAACAAAACCAACUGAAUAUUACAAGAGCAAAGAACUUGCCUUACUUCAGAAAUAAAUGUUAAUUGUAAAGGAAAACUAUUUACACACUAUAUUUCUCUGUGCUCUAUUUUCACGGGUAACAUUUCUUUAUGAAGGGCCUACUGUGUGAGGUAUAGGUCAAAUUUACAUAUAAAUUAUUAAUUAAAAUGUGAAUGUGUGUACAGUUGCUUUAUGUUUAUCAUUUGGUUUCAUUAUAUAUACUGACCUCAAAUAAAGUACUCCUGGAGUAAAGGGUAAAUAUAAAAGAAGUAAAUAUAACGUUAAUUUUGAUAAUUACAAUUCCAGUAUAAAUUAAAUUCAGUUAAAAACAUUUAUUGAAUGUAGCACAUUGGUUUUGUUAAAUAAUAUAUCUACUCAGUUUUAUGUGUCAUGGCACUAAAUGUAGUUAUUCAGAUCUACUUAAUUUUUUACUUACAUUUACUCAAUUCAUAAGACAUAUUUCAAUGAUUUCACAGCUUUAACAUGUACUUAUUAUUGUUAAGUGUAAAAAUGUUUCACCAAAACAAAUGGAGUUCAUCUUAGUUUAAGCUUGUAAAGUGUAAUAACUGUUACACUGUAAUGUCUACAAUGACUGUUAUUGCUAUGUAACAGUCAUUACAGUGUAACAAUUAUUACAGUGUAACAGUCAUUACAGUGUAACAGUUAUUUCAGAGUAACAGUCAUUACAGAGUAACAGUCAUUACAGUGUAACAGUCAUUAUAGUGUAACAAUCAUUACAGUGUAACAAUCAUUACAGUGUAACGUUAUUUCAGUGUAACACUCAUUACAGCGUACACAAUCAUUACAGUGUAACAGUCAUUACUGUUUCUCCUGGGAAGUAUUACACACCAUGACGCCCUGCUAGGCCUCCUGAAAGGCUUAUUGAAAUUUUGUUGAAUGGUUGAAGGGCUAGAAAAGUUUGUAAAAAUUGCAGUUAUAAUGCAAUUGUUGUGUUAUUGUUAUGAAAAUGUGUUAUUGUUUCCAAUAUUGAUUCCAAUAUUAUAUAAAUAAAUACAUAAAUAAGAUGCUA
This is a long non-coding RNA of Ictalurus punctatus (channel catfish), 2911 nucleotides long. RefSeq lists it as uncharacterized. The record is from RefSeq and is a predicted model, not a curated record. The transcript is spliced from 2 exons. NCBI's taxonomy places the organism in Eukaryota, Metazoa, Chordata, Actinopteri, Siluriformes, Ictaluridae.